AUUCAUAUAGUUUAAAAAACAUUUUAUUUUCAUUAAAAAAUAAGAAUAAAAAUUCUUAUGAAUU
This 64-nucleotide transfer RNA is filed under the name Limassolla sp. XZ-2020. RNAcentral's name for it is "tRNA-Glu". Lineage: Eukaryota; Metazoa; Arthropoda; Insecta; Hemiptera; Cicadellidae. The record is from RNAcentral.